AGAGGUCGCCGACUGACGGUUUUAAUUGCAUCAUUUAGUUUAGUUUAUCGCUCUAUAGUAAAAAGUCGCAGUCGGUUUUCUCUCUUUUACCCGAAAGUUGAAGCUAAAAGUGAAGGGAGAAUAAAAAUAACAACUCGACGUUAAUUCUACUCCAAGUCCCUCAGCAGGAACGUAAAGAUGGAGACAUCUCAGAAGGACAUCAGAUAACUGGAUUGCUCAGCUAAGCUGUUAGCAGUGUGGCGUCUCACACGUCUGUCUGAGGUGAAACCCUGAACACGUCCACUUCAUGACUCAGAACUUUCACCUGGAGCCAAGAAAUCGCUGGAGAGAAAGGAGUCUGAGUUAGAUAACUAGUGAGCGUACCGAAUUCGGAUCAAUAGCUGCUAAUUGUUGGUAUAAAACCUUCAAACUCUGGAGGAGACUGACGACCGCAGCGAGGCAUUGAACACGCCUGAGUGAGACACGGCCUGCAGGGUUUUUUUUUUAAUCAACACAGAGGACAUCUCUCAUCCCGCACAUGCAGAGACUCGGUUUCCAUGGGAAUAAACUCUGUGUCCUUUCCUCCCCUCCGGCAGUUCAGAGAAAAGAGAAGAAGAGAUGGAGUGUGUCUGUGCUUGUGCUCAGGCAUAUCAGAAACCAGCAUCGCAAAGCAUCAGCCCUGCGCCUUCGUCCUUGGUGAACGUCACGCGAAGCACUGCAUCGCUCCGUGAUUCAGAAUACAGAGGUCACGAGACUGCGAUGAAUUAAAGAACGUCAGCAGACUCGGGGCGGCCGUCGGCCUGAUGCUGAAAAUCCACACCGUCUCGUCCUUUUUCUCUGCAUUAUGUAGCACACGUUAUGGAGGGAGUCUCGCAUGGUGUUCAUGGUCAGGUCAGGUUUUAUUGUCAUCCCGUCCACAUACACAUGCAGCUGCAGGAAACCGGGAGCAAGAGACGUGAGGGGAGAAAAAAACAAGUGUUUGCAAACACAGCUACAGUACGUGAAGUGUUGUGGUCUUAAUGUAGAUUACUCAGUACUACAAUCGGAUGAAACCUCUGUGUGUCAUGAUGCUGUAGUAAAACAUACGAGUGCGAUGAAGCCCAGAGCUACCCCUGAGAGCUUUAUUUCUCUUAUGCCACAUUAUAGCAGCUGUAAACAGUCGGUCUCUUAUCAUAAUACACACACUGCCCCCCAGUGGCUGGCGCAGUCCUCCAUGUGUAAAAAAAAAACGUACGCAGGCAACUGUGUAAGUGUGUGUUGGUUUAAACCUGGACCUUAAGAAGGGAGGAGAAAAAUGUCUUUCAUUUCUGUGCAGAAAGAAAAAAGGUCGAGAGACGUUCUUCACUCUUCCUUCCUUCAUCUGUUCCAGAGAGCAGGACAUGAUGGAACAGUCUCUGUCUCACUCUCUGUCUCUCUCUCUUUUUCUCUCUCUCAUUCUUUCUUCUUCUCUCCCUAUCUCUCUCUUUCUUCCCCCCCUUCUGCUCACAACCCCUCCCCAAUCUCAGAGUCCAUCAGCUACCUGAUCGAACACUCUCGCCUGGUUGCUAAGCGCUCGUCCUUUGCUUUCACCUGGGUUUUAUGGUGUACGGUCCAUCAUGUACUUUGUCAGCAGUCAGUGUCCACAUGUCUGCUUUUAGACCACCACCACCACCUCCACCUCCACAAUGCUGUUCACUUUCACACUCUUAACACUGUGAGAAUUAUGCAGAUUAUGAUUAGAUCACAGCUACAGGUCAGUGAAGCUCAGCAGGGUUUUUUAUUCCUCUUUUAUUUAUUUAUUUUUUAUUUAAUGACAAGAAAAUAGAAAGAACUCGUCACAGAAAGAAAGUAAACGCAGAGCAAAAACCAAACAUCAUGCUAACUCUCAUGCUAACUCUACUAGCCUUGUUUCAUUGUGCCUGGAUAACAGAGCUCACCUCAAUUUACUGUUCACUGCUAACGUUAGAACCAACAGAUAUACACAGUAUAUAUAUAUGUUCUGCACACUCAGGGUUCUAGGCUUGUUCAGGGUUCUAGGCUUGUAACAUCCUUGGAAUAAUCUCUGCUAGAAACACACAUUGUUGUUGAGAACCUUAAAUGGUCACCCAAAGGGAGAAUUAAACAGUAAAAUAAAUAGUUUGAACUUUGCACAUAAAUAAAUCCAUAAAUGCGUAAAUUUGUACACAAGUAAUAGUAAACGGCGCUAAAUGAGCCGUAAUUCCUGUCAUUAAUAGCCCAGAUUAUUAACUGAACGUAGUUUACAGUUAAAGCUGGUGUUUAACAUGGUGAUGACUGAUGGCUUGAUGCUAAUCUGGGCUAAUUAGCAUUAGUUAAGAGAACAACGAUAAACACCUGAAGCUCAACACUUAUUUUAUUUACACCACAUUCUACAAAAGAGGUUUUCUACACAGUGCUGCUAAUUUACUGUAUUUAACUUGGCUGUCUGUUUGUCUCUACUUGACUCCCAGCUUUCUCGUGUCUGUAACGAUUACUCGUGUUUACGAUAAUGUUCCACCGAGUGCAACGGUGACGUUACGUCCAGAAAUCUCCAUUUAUUACCCUCUAAACGAGCCGACCGUUCGAACGGCGUCCUCAGCCAUCAGGACCGAGAGCCAUGUUGACUCACGCCAUGCUGUCACUCUGCAUGACGCAUCCACCGGCGUGCUGAGGCGAGGCAGGAGAAAUGGGCUCGACGUGACAAAGCAGCGUUGUGGGGUAACUGUGUGAGUCACCAGAGCAGCCUGUUUCCCCCUGAAGCACUCCGCUACAAGAGACAUGGAAAUCCUGUGAAGUUCUCCCUGUGGAGCUCUUACUGCUGAACACACUGUGUCGGUUUGGUAUGCGACGGGAUCGAAUCUGUGUGUGUGUGUGUGUGUGUGUGUGUGUGUGUGUGUGUGUGUGUGUGUGUGUGUGUGUGUGUUCAGUGUCUCUGCUUGAAGUUUACUCCUUGGUUCCAUUUAAAUGUAUGGAUUACUGCAUGAGAAGAGAGAUAAAGAACGGAGAGUUUUACUGAAGCUCACAAUUAAUGAAGUCACGACUCGUUAGGGUGAGUCGACUCUCAGGAACCAAUCAGCAGAGUCGGCGGGUUCAGAAGGGUUCAGGUUCAGAUUCCACAGCUGCUUCAGUGGUUUUUUCGGAAUUUCACUGGAUAACAUAGCUCACCUUGAGAGCUCACUUGUCUUCACCCUUUCAUUUUAAAUCCCCAAAUAGCAAGCACUAAAUGAUAAUGUGCUUGUAUUAGAGCACAGAAUUAUGGGAUGUAUUGUGUGUGUG
This is a long non-coding RNA of Tachysurus fulvidraco (yellow catfish), 3231 nucleotides long. RefSeq lists it as uncharacterized. The transcript has 4 exons. The record is from RefSeq and is a predicted model, not a curated record. Lineage: Eukaryota; Metazoa; Chordata; Actinopteri; Siluriformes; Bagridae.